GGACUACUGGGGUUUCUAAUCCCGUUCGCUCCCCCAGCUUUCGCGCCUCAGCGUCAAGAGUGCCCCAGGAGACCGCCUUCGCCACUGGUGUUCCUAUCGAUAUCUACGCAUUUCACCGCUACACCGAUAAUUCCAUCUCCCCCUGACACCUUCAAGAAGACCAGUCUCCACCGACCCGCUGAGGUUGAGCCUCAGGCUUUCACAGCGGACUUGGCCUCCCGCCUACGCGCCCUUUACGCCCAGUAACUUCGGACAACGCUCGCCCCCUCCGUAUUACCGCGGCUGCUGGCAC
This 292-nucleotide ribosomal RNA is filed under the name uncultured bacterium. RNAcentral describes it as "partial 16S ribosomal RNA". The record is from RNAcentral.